UUCCAAUACUUGUUGCAUUUAUUUCUUCGUCAAUAUUGUUUUUGAUAUUUGAUUGCUAUGAAAGAUGUUGCUCUAAAACUCUCCUCGUAAACAUCCUAUUGUUCUAAAUAAUAGAAUAAAUAAGUAAUAAAUAUAAUAUAAAUAAUAAUGUGUGUCCACGAUCACAGGCGAGAAACGGAAGUCUGUGUCGUGUCAAUGUAAAACAAUGGCUUAGCCCGAAGCUUCAGUCUUAUGAAACAAAGUUCUGAACAGAAAAACAGCAAAGGGCCGUGCGGAUGGCGGAGCGUGGGAUGGACACACGCUCUGAGACAGAUGAAAGCGGCGGGCUUAGCUGUUCUGCUGCAGCAGACGACAAAGGACAAAGCUCACGGCAGAGAGACACCAUGGAGUCGACAAUCACCUGCAUAGGAUGCCACCACUUACUUACUUUGGCAAGAUCACCAGCCAACGAGUCCAGCUUCUGACGCACUGGCCCAUCUACGGACAGGACGUGGGCCAGCUCGCACAGUGAGGGGUACAGCUUGAGGAGGAACACUUGUUUGGCAGCUUGAAUGUCCUCCACCUCUCCAACACCUCGCAGCAUGCACACCUGCUGCUGGACACGUGCACACAGCCGCUCCAUCACCUCAGAAACACAAACACGUGGGCAGGAGAGGUAAAGGCAGGUGUUGCUGCCCAGAGCGUUGACCAGGACCGUGCCUCGAGAGCGGAGACGCGAGUCGGUGAGCGACAGAGUCUGCAGAGCCUGGAGAUGAACACAGGAACUACAUUUGAAGCAUGCGUCAACACGACUUCACAUACUGCAUGUAUGAAUUAUUGACUCCAUGUGUGUGCAGUGAUAUAGAGAAGGGGCAAACACAGCAAUAAUUAAUGUUGCAUUUUUGUUACAGUGUAUCUUGUGAAUGGACAAUAUCAUAUAGAUGGAUAUACUGUACUUCGGAGUACCCAAUGUAUAGUGUGUAUAGCAGUAUGGCUUUACUAUCCAGCACGGUGCUGGGUGGUUAGCCAUAAGCAAAAUUUGAUUUUGGGGCCCUCUAUUACAAAAUAAUUCAUUAUUAUUUUUUUUUAAGUUAAUUGAGUGCCCCCUAGUGGUCACAGGGUCCUAAGAAGGUGCGUAGUUCGCUUAUUCCUUGGGCUGGCUCUGGCCACACAGUCAGGAGAUUGGGAAGAUCUGGGUUCCAUUUUCCGCUUGGGCAUCUCUGUGUGGAAUUUGCAUGUUCUCCCCAAGUGAAUUGGCUACUCCAAAUUGUCCAUAGGUAUGAAUGUUAGUGUGAAUGGUUGUUUGUCUAAAUGUGCCCUGUGAUUGGCUGGCGACCAGUCCAGGGUGUACCCCCCUCCUCGCCCGAAGACAGCUGGGAUAGGCUCCAGCAUACCCCCGCGAUUCUAAUGAGCAUAAGCGCCAUAGAAGAUGGGUGGAUGGAUGAAAAUUAGUCAACACCUAGCCUUUUUUUUCUAAAUAGCCAGUAACACAAGUGAGUGGCAAAAGAAUUGUGUCCCGCCUACAGUUGGCAUGCCAGUCAUUCUUGGGCUACACGAGUGCUGCCAGCACUGGGGAGCUGUAGUUACAGUAAUUUUCGGUGCAUAGUAAAUCUAUGCUGCUAUAAAACCUGUGGUACAUAGUGGUUUAAUGGUGUAUACAGUAUAUCCAACCGGCAGUAUUGUUCAUUAGAAAAUGCUUGACCAGAGGGAGAAGAAACCAAUAAGUCAUGUAUGCUAUCUUCUGUCACACCCGUACACAAAGAUAUGAUAUGGUUAUGCCGUCCUCACUCACACAUUCCUCCUCUUGUAUGAGUUGCACCAGUUUCUGCAGGACUUCAUCCAGAACCCUGCGGAUGUAAGAUGUGAGACUGAAUCAGCUGACGUUAAUUAUUACCAUUUCCUGCAGCUGCACUCAGAGCAGCGGCAUAUAAAAUAGUGAAGUAGAGUGAACAGAGCUGUUAAUCAGGCUGGCAUAUGCUGUGCUCCCAUGUUUUGUUUUUCUCUUUUUUUGCACGCAUGCAUGCGCACAGUCAAGACGCAAAUAACCGCAUGAAAGCAGCACUGGCAGCACCUGUUUUUGAUGUUGAAGUUCUUGCCGAGAUGAAGGUGUUUCAGGGAAGGGUGUCUGGAUAGGGCUGGCAGCACCGUGAGCAAGUCUGCAUCCAAACCUAUCAACACAAGCACAGCUCAGCACUAGGACCAAACAAGGAGGACUAAACUCAAGGUCAGAGGAGAGAGAGGUAUCGCCUCAUGUCACCGGUGUACCGUUGUCGGAGAUAUCUAGAGUGCCAAUGGAGGAGACUCUGGGGAAGAGCUCCUGUAGAACAGCCGCUCCUGCAGAUCGUAGCUAAGGAGAGAAGACAAGCAGAGGAUGAAAGGGACAAACAACACAGACUUAUUCAUUGAGGUUUAGGGACUCCAGCAAACCACGUUAUUCACACAUGGUGAAAAUAUGGAACAGUGGUGAACCUUCAAGGAGUCUGCACCCAGAAUCAGCCAAUGAAUUUCCCCACUUGCAUGUUUCAAUGUGGACGCCUACCUCACAGCCGCUGAUGUCCAGGUGGAGGUCGUUGAUGUGGGGGUUGGAUGUUAAGCCCGCUAGGAGAGCCCUGUGGAGCCAGGAGAAAGAAACUCAAAGAGGAAGCAAAUACUAAGAACGUGAGACAGAUGGAAACCCACCUCAAGUUAUUUUUUUUGCAGUGUUCAUUUCACUGAUAACUGCUUCGAAGGAACAUCUUUACAAGAAGCAUUUGGCUUAAUCAAAGAAAAGUGGAAAUGGCGGUGAGUACCUGAGGACUUCUGGGGGCAUCUUCAUGGCAGCCAGGUUGACGUGGGUGAGACUGAAGGCAGAGCUGAAGAACUGACGGAAUGAAGGCAGUGUGUCCUUUGCUUUUCUGUUGGAUGAAAUAGCAACAAAGAACAGAAGGUUCGUCCACCCAUUUGGUGUCCUAAUUUACGGCUGACUCUUCUACUUCUGAACCACUUCACACAAAAGGUCUGGAAGGUAAAUCACGACAGAAUGUGGAGAUCAGGACAGAUGAAGUUCUCCCCAGGUUUAAGCCUUCAGUGCCGAGACCUCUACAAAUAUGGGACUAACCUGUGGGAGAAGGAGUUUUUGGAAAGAUUCAGAAAGGCGAGAUCAGCACAGCACCCCCUCAGAAGAGCCCCAAAUAGCUGCGUGAGAUGGGGAGGGGGACAGUUAAUCCGAUUCGACAGAUGCAUUUCUUUUGAAAGCACCGCCAUGAAAGCCUUACUGAGUCCACACAGCAAUCUGUGCCUGACAGGUCCAAAUGCACCAGGCAGUUGGGCUGCGACAGGAAGAGAUACAAGCUCUGCAAACACAGAGAGACACAUGCACUGAGUCGUCGUGUGAUGAUGGAAAAGUGCCUGAAUUGAACGCAUUUCCAGGUGCACUGCGCCUCCUCACCGAGGCAUCAUCACCAGAAAGGACCCCUGGGUUCUUGCUCAGGUCCAGGUGUAGGAGUGAGUUGGAGUACUCGUCGCUGGAGUUCAGAGCCAGAGAGAGCGACAUCAACCCUGAGGGUAAAGGUAGAUGUGGUAGAUGUGUAAUGACAGUUUUACGCUGCUUUCAUCUAACCUGAUGUAUCCUGAUCAGUGACAUUUUAUACAGAAAAGGUGGGGCUCAGGUUUUUGCCAUUUUGUCAGGAAAAUUGCCAUACUUUUGUAUCAGAAAAACAGCCAAUAUUCUUUGUCACAUUAAAAAGGGCACAACUAGGAGAUACAAGCUUGUCAGUUUUUGCAAAGAUGCAACUAUGUACAGUUUAUCAGCAGAAAUGCUUGUAUUCUUUUUCCUGACCACUGGUUGCCAGGCAGAUUUCAUGGAGCAUUGUCAUUGGUCAGGAAAUUGCAUAUACCAGCCAGCCAUGCCCACACGUUUUUUUUUUAGAUGCAAUACAGUACAAUACAAUACAGUAAUCCCUCACUACUUUAUCCAUCCAUCCAUCCAUUUUCUGUACGACUUAUCCUCACGAGGGUCGCGGGCAUGCUGGAGCCUAUCUCAGCUGUCUUUGGGCGAGAGGCGGGGUACACCCUGGACUGGUCGCCAAACGACCAUUCACACUCACAUUCAUACCUAUGGACAAUUUGGAGUCGCCAAUUAACCUAGCAUGUUUUUGGAAUGGGGGAGGAAAUCGGAGUACCUGGAGAAAACCCACGUAUGGGGAGAACUUCACACAGAGAUGCCAGAGCGGGGAAUCGAACCCCCUCAAAUCAAUCAGGCCAAUUAUUAGUCCAAAAAUAUACAUAUUUAAGCUAAUUUUACACAAUUACAAGCAUUUAACAAAACUAAAAAAGAAAUUCAGGCUUUCAGAUGACACAUUCAAAGAUCUAGUAAUGAUAUAUAGUAUUCUACACUGGUCACUAGGUGUCUGCAUUGUUACUGUACUGUGAGACACAUGGUGAGACACACAAGCACCACACCACAUUAGAUUGCCGGAACAGGAGCAGGCUUUAUUGCAGUUUGUUUUACGUCACAGCAGGGACAAUAAUCCCUAACAUGUGCUACUGUAACCUACACCAAGCUUAAACUGAACUCUGAAACCCCAACAGCAUUCCCCAUCUGCUCCCCUGAACAUCAUAUAAAUAUACAGUAGAUAUGUUUUCUCUGUAAAAGUGAUAUGGGCAUAUAAGCAGCUUUAUGGAGUGAAUGAAAUUAAUGGAAUUAAUUAAUGAAUGAAUUUUGGAGGGGUUUAUGAACAUAACUAGCAACUUAGGCUUACAGAUAACUGUAACAGAUGUCAAAAACAAGGAAAAAGUGUCCUGAAUUACAUAUUCACAUUUACUACAAAUUAAAAUCAAUUAGAAAAAAAAGGAUGUGGUGGGCCACAAUGACUUGUUUUGCUUUGGGCCCCAAAUUGACUAAAUACGGCCUCGCUGUAAUGCAGUCGCACUCUAUUCCUGUCUUGUCUAUCCUGCGGCUUUCACUUUCUGUUAACUUCCACAUUUCAACCUUCUUGAUCGAUAUGAAGCUGCAGGAUAUCACAAAAACACAGCAAAAGCUGCUUCUUGACAAACCUUUGGAGGUGAGCGAGGUCUUGGAUAGGUUGAGGAGGCGGAGACCCUUGCUGAGGCGACAUAUCUGCUGGAUUAGGUUGGCCAUGCCUGCAGCCAGAAGGUGAUAGGACAUUUACACAACAUGUCUGAUAGUGUUGCCUCCUGUUCAGACAGUCACACAUUAACACCCACAGUCACACACUGGUGGUGAUGGAGGCCGCCAUGCAUGGUGACAGUCAGUUCAUCAGGCGCAUUUAGCUCUGGAGUGUUUUGAUAACAAGGGCCCAAGCGCCUCCUUGCAGUGACAUUCCAUUGCUUUUUCAAUUUUUGCCUUUCUUAUCAGACAUUGAAAAUGUAAAAAUGAUGAUUGGUUACUUCCACCUCCCUACCUUGGUUGUCCAGAGAAUUGUGGGCCAGGUUGAGCGAGUGGAUGACAGAGGCGGGAUUCUCAGACAGAGCAGCCGACAUCUUCUGUGGGAAGUCUCUGCAGAGGCAACACGUUUAGGGUCUCACUAAAUAACUAACACAAGCCAGCCACACCUUUGGUGCCUAUUAUGAGAUGAGACAAUUACAAUUUCCAGGAUUGUUGUAUUCCUUAAUGGACUACACCCAAAUCAGAGCGGGCUGGCCUAUGAGGCAAUACAGUGGAACCUUUGUUCUAGGAGGUCUGAUUCAAACCAAAACCGACUCUAACCAAAUCAAAUUUUCCAAUAUGAAAUAAUGUACAUGCAAUUAUUAAUCCCUUCCGCACGCUCACAACUGUUAACACAAAACACUUUUUUAUAGGUUUAGACGCAGAAAGCUAUUUGUAAUUGAUAUAAAUGACAA
This is a non-coding RNA of Doryrhamphus excisus (bluestripe pipefish), 5820 nucleotides long. The record is from RefSeq and is a predicted model, not a curated record. NCBI's taxonomy places the organism in Eukaryota, Metazoa, Chordata, Actinopteri, Syngnathiformes, Syngnathidae.